GAUGAAGAACGCAGCGAAAUGCGAUAAGAAUGCGAAUUGCAGAAUUUCCGUGAGUCAUCGAAUCUUUGAACGCACAUUGCGCCCACUGGUAUUCCGGUGGGCAUGCCUGUUCGAGCGUCAUUAUCCUCCCUCAAACCCCGGGUUUGGUGUUGGACCCAAGUUGUGUGAACAACUGGUCUCAAAGACAAUGACGGCGUCCGUGGGACCCUCGGUGCAACGAGCUUUUAGGAGCACGCAUCGAGUUGCAAGGACCUUCCGGGCCGGUCUCCUUUACCAUUUUACAAGGUUGACCUCGGAUCAGGUAGGAAUACCCGCUGAACUUAAGCAUAUCAAUAAGCGGAGGA
Molecule: unclassified non-coding RNA, 344 nt
Filed under: soil metagenome
Description: partial contains 5.8S ribosomal RNA, internal transcribed spacer 2, and large subunit ribosomal RNA
Rfam family: 5.8S ribosomal RNA (bases 1-120)
Source: RNAcentral